This 126-nucleotide ribosomal RNA is filed under the name Prolemur simus (greater bamboo lemur). Lineage: Eukaryota; Metazoa; Chordata; Mammalia; Primates; Lemuridae. The record is from RNAcentral.
GUGUAAGGCCAUACCACACUGAAUGCACCCAAUCUCAACUGAUCUCAGAAGCUGAGCAGGGUUAGCUCCGGUUAGCACUUGGAUGGGAGAUUGAUAUUUAGUUUAUUAGAAAUUUGAACAUAUACA